Non-coding RNA from Marmota monax (woodchuck), 360 nucleotides. The record is from the annotation of a RefSeq genome assembly. NCBI's taxonomy places the organism in Eukaryota, Metazoa, Chordata, Mammalia, Rodentia, Sciuridae.
AUGGUCAGGAAGUUUCUCCUUCUUAUGAUGCUUGCUCAUUGCCCAGUGUUUAAAGGGUCCCUCUUCCAACCUGUGCUGACUCAGCCACUCUCUGCAUCUGCCUCCCUGGAACAAACCGCCAAACUCACAUGCACCCUGAGCAGUGGCUACAGUAAUUACAAGAUGGACUGGUACCAGCAAAGCCCAGGGAAGAGCCACAGGUUUGUGAUGCGAGUGGGCACUAGUGGCAUUGUGGGAUCCAAGGGGAAUGGGAUUCCUGAUCGCUUCUCAGGCUCAGGCUCUGGCCUGGAUUGGUGCCUGAACAUCCAGAACAUCCAGGAAGAAGAUGAAAUGUCUACCACUGUAGGUACCCCAUGGUAG